GAUGAACGCUGGCGGCGUGCCUAAUGCAUGCAAGUCGAGCGAACGGACGAGAAGCUUGCUUCUGUGAGGUUAGCGGCGGACGGGUGAGUAACACGUGGAUAACCUACCUAUAAGACUGGGAUAACUUCGGGAAACCGGGGCGAAGACCGGAAAAUAGUUUGAACCGCAUGGGUCAAAAGCGAAAGACGGUCUUGCUGUCGCUGAUAGAUGGAUCCGCGCUGCAUUAGCUAGUUGGUAAGGUAAGGGCUUACCAAGGCAACGAUGCAUAGCCGACCUGAGCGAGUGAUCGGCCACGCUGGAACUGAGACACGGUCCAGACUCCUACGGGAGGACGCAGUAGGGAAUCUUGCGAGAUGGGAGAAAGCAUGACGGAGCAACGCGGCGUGAGUGAUGAAGGUCUUGGGAUCGUAAAACUCUGUUAUUAGGGAAGAACAUAUGUGUAAGUAACUGUGCACGUCUUGACGGUACCUAAUCAGAAAGCCACGGCUAACUCCGUG
RNAcentral lists this ribosomal RNA (497 nucleotides) under uncultured bacterium. RNAcentral's name for it is "partial 16S ribosomal RNA". It matches the Rfam family "Bacterial small subunit ribosomal RNA", at positions 28 to 507 of the family's 1533-position model. The record is from RNAcentral.